UAUUUAUUGGUACUGUGUUUUCUCGCAGGGAUCUGUUAUCCAAGGAUUCCUUUCGCCGAGCCGUAUUGAGAGACAUUUGUCUAAAAUGAAGCCUGGAUCGCUUUACAAGCUCAACAAUUUUUAUGGAUCAAGCAACAAAACCAUGUAUCGGGUUUCUGAUCAUGCUGUGACGGUGUCGUUCUCAUGGAACUCGGAGCUCUCUGUUCUUGAAGACAGUCCCACUCCUUUUGAUGAAGACAGAUUCCGUUUUCAUUCCUUUGAGGAAUUUCAAGCUGGCUGUGAUCGCAAAGGAGACCUCUACGGUAAUCUCUGUUAUCACACAUACCAGCUAUGAGUUGCAAUGCUUGAUGAUUAAUCUAGAAUUUUGCUUACAGUGCUAUACGUGUUUGGUUUGUGAUCACAGAACAUUACAAAUAAGAUUUACUAAUUUCGUUUUUACCCUGAGGAGGACUAUUUUUACUACAUUCAGUGUUUGGUUUUUUUUUUUUUGGACGGAUAGUUUAGUUAGGAUCUGUUAGCUGGUUGAGUUCUAUGUCUGGUUAUUCCCUAUGAAAUUGUUGAAAUGCUUUUCCAUAUUUAGUCUUCUUACUUACACGCUUAAUGAUUAAUGGUAUAGAUGUUCUUGGGCACAUGAAGCUGGUUAAUGGUCAGUGUAUCACUGGGACCCCGGUUCUUGAUGAAGUGGAAAUAGCUAGGGCGAGGCAUGUGUUGGUUCAUGUGCAGUCAUACGAGUAAGUGUUUUGUUAUUUCUUAAACACUUUGUCUGUCAACUUAUAUUAACCUUUUAGUGACAAUAUUUUGCAGUGGACCUGUGGUGAAGCUCUACCUUUGGGACCAGGCUGCAAGAGACUUCUGCAAAAAAUUCAAAUCAUACGAACGCACCCCCACCGUGUUAUUGGUGACGACCGUUAACACCAAGAGUCUCGGAGGUUCAGUUUCUAACUUUAGAAAACUUUCUUACAAUUAGUUAUCUACUCUUGCUGGUCUUUAAAUGGGUGUUGCUUAAUACAACAGGUACUCUUGCACUGACUACAAUGUCCUCCUCACGUGUCUUUAUGGAGUGCGACGUCCAGCCUACGGUCGACUACUUUAGCUGGUAAAUCUAUAUAUAUAUUCAUUUUUAUUUUUAAUCUUUAGCUGCCUCAUCCCAUACCAAUGAAUGAAUGGAUCAAAAUGUUACUACUCUGUCUCAGGUUGGGCUCUAACCCACAGAGUGCUGAGUUGGUCAAUGCAGAAGUGGUUACUAAAAGGGAGACACUGACCAUAGGAGAAAUAUUCUCCUACAUCAGGGAUGGAUCUAAUAAGGAGGCUUUUUUUGAGUGCACGGCUACGAUUGAUGAUGUGGUCCAUGGUUCAACCUGGUAUUACAUAUCAUGCAGUGGUUGCCAUACUAAGGCUACGAAAGGGCCAACUUCUUUGAUGUGUUCAAAAUGUGGGAAAGUCAACAUAUCAGGAGUACCACAGUACCGUGCACAGAUAUCUGUCUAUGACAACAGUGAGCAAGCUGUUUUUGUUCUGCUUGGUGAUGCUGGUUUUGAGUUAACCGGGAAGCAUGCAGCCGAGUUAGUCAGCAGCUAUUUUGAGGUAAGUUUCAUCACUCGGAACUCUUAGUGUUUGUACUCUGAAUAUUGGUCUUCACGUAAGAAUUGAAUAUUGAUAAUCUUGAAUGUCAGUCUAAUGGAGACCAAGGAGUUACUCAAGAGGCGCCUUUCCCGGAAGCUUUAAUUAGCACUAUCGGUCAGAAACAUAACUUCUGUGUUAAAGUUACACAGCACAACUUAGAUGGCAAGUCUCGAUCUUUGACUGUGACCAAGAUUCUCCCUAUGGAAUCUCCGCCAGUCACAGAAGCUUCGGGAGGAAACUACAACCCAACAACCUUGGAGGACGGAUUUGAGACUGGAACGAAGGUGUGUGGAGCUUCCAAAAUCAGUGUGGAUUCGGCAGAGGGAAGUAAGAACAAUGGUGACAUUGACGAGAUGGGCAAAGCAAAACGCCUCAAGCGUGGGGUGUAGAUUUUACGUGGGUCGUAACAUGUCUUGCAUGGGAGUACGUUUAAAGUUUUUUUUUUUUUUUUUUUUGCUCACUCUGUUAUUGACUUAUGAUUUCUUUCAAUUUCUCUAAAGUUUUUUAAUUACUCUGAAUGUUUAAGUUUUGAUAAUCAUUAUUCUACUUCUUAAGGCUUAUAACUCUGUUUCUUUAUGUGUUUUGAAAUAUAGGUUUGUGACAAACCGGUCAAUCAAUACCGAAUUUGAAAAUCUUUUAUUUUACGAACUAUGGAUAUUUUUUUAAAAAAAAAUGUCUGUGAUGAAAGCAACAUUUUAGGAAAAACGUGUUUUCCAAUCUACAUAAUUAAUCUACUUUCCAUAAAAUUGUUGAAGGCAUAAAUUUAGUAUUGUUUAUGGAAAAAGAAUCAAUCAAGUUAUCAAGCAUUACCUAAACCAUAUCAAACACGAUUUUACUAACCAAGAAUAUAUCUUCUCAUUUUUUAAUCAACCAAAGAUUUACGUCAAUCAUAUCCCACACGAAUUAUUUCUCCCGUAGCUCUCCCCUUACGCUGCUGCCCGGUAAACCAAGCUUUCUUCUACCGUUUUGAAGCAUCCCCUUAAGCUGCUGCAACCAAGCUUCCUAUUUCCCAUCUUUAAUCAACGCUUGACUCAACCUACUGUGGAAGGUAAGAAUUUUUAAAUCAACUAAGAAUAUACAAAAUCUUAAUCCAUCAAUCUAACUGGUAAUCAGUUUCAUUAUAAGGUUACAAAUAUAUAAGGAAUGGAGCAGCCACCUCUUCCACCCACUUCGCAGACUGCAGGUAAACAAAUCUAUAGUCAUCUUAAGAAUCGCCUUACAGGCAUGUAUGUCGCUAGAUAUAUUAAUUGUAUUACUUAGGCCAUAAACCAAGAUAUAAGGUUAAUCAAAUGUUAAACGUAACUUUAAAAUCAAAAUUUAUAUAAUAUAUAUAUUUCGGUACAUAGAAUAAUACACCAAUAAAUUUUGUUAUCGAAACGUACUCUUAUUCAUUUACAGUUCAGUUUUUUUUUUCCUAUUUAAACUUUUGAUUUUUCACAAGAUAUAUACUUUAAUAUUUAUAGGAUAGUGAUGCAAAGGUUCGUGCAUGAACUUAAUAAUAAACGAAGCUUUAGAGAUACAAAGUCGAGUCUCCCGAUUUUUUAGAUAUAUAAUGAUCUACUUUUUUGGUUAGGAUCAAUACUGAGUUUUUGAAAGACUAAAUAACACCAUUUCAUUCUAAUAAUUAUUUACGUUCUUUAUUACGUUAGAAUUAUUUCUUAUGAGUAUAAAGAACAAGUCUAUAGUCAAUGAUAUUUAAUGGCUAUAUAAAUUAUAUGUCAUAAAAAAAUCAGUAUAUUGUAUCGCUUCUUCACAACUAAUAUAUAUAUAUAUAUAUUAGUUUCUAAGUCUUCACAGCAAUAUGUCUCGAGUUUUUUUAAACUGGAAAUUUGCGGAGCUGAAAGUUAUAUAUGUAUUUAACUUAGAUCAGAAAUAAUAUAUAUAUAUAUAUAUAUAUACAGUAUUUGUUAAUUUAUUCAUUCAGGAUUUUUUUGAAUAUUGUUGUCUUACCGUUUUAUUCAAUAAUUUUGAAACAUUGUUUUUUUUUUUUUAAAAUUCCCCUUUUAUAUAGUUUUUAGCUAAUCGUAAACAUAUAUUACCUAUUCAUAGUUUGCUUAUAAAUUUCGGAUAAAAUUAAAGCUGAAAGAAAAUAAACUAACCAUCACAAGUAACUUAUAAAAUUAACAUUCAGGAAUAAAUGCUCUUUCACCCCCAACGUUUAAAGACAAAAAAUUAUAUAUUUAAACCCACUCUAUUUACCACAUUUCGACAAAGACUUCACCCCACACAAAUACCUUAACAAUGAGUGACAUACCACUUAUAUCUCAUAGAAUCUCGCAUCAAAGAAGAUCUACAGGUGGAAACCCAAAACAAACCCAACCACGAGAUGUGUAUUGUUUGCUUCGGAAAUUACAACCAACACAACAAUCUUUAUACUCUUACAUGCGGCCACAGUUUCCAUUUCCCUUGCAUUCAUCAGUGGCUUCACAGAAACAUAAGUUGUCCGAUAUGCAGAAAAAGCAAUCUUUGAUGCCAAACUUUUUGAAAAAUAAAAAAAGUCAAUUGAAUUCUGAAUUCUAAUAUCAUUUUUGUCUUCAUUUUAUUAUGCCAUUUUGUAUAAAAGUUAUUAUAUUUGAAAUCCCAUGUUAUUAUACACAGUUAAUAUAUUUAACAUAAGACUCAAUAUUCAAAUUUAGAUUUUUAAAAUAACAGAAGAACUAAUUUCUGUCUGAACUCGAGACCAAAUCCGUACAAUAAUGUUUCUAUUUUUUUGGUAAUUAUAAAAUAUCAUAAACAAUUACAUUAAUAUAAAAAAUAAAAAACAUUUUAGUAACUAUAUUUAUACGUUUGUUUCGGUAGCGUUAAUCUGUGAGGAAAAUCAUAUUUUAACUAUCUGGCUGUAUCUUAUUACAAUUUUUAAACCGUAAAUCUUUUAGUGACAUCUUCCAUGCAACACAUUCCUCAAAGAAUCCAUCAACUUCAACAAGGGAUUUCAAUGCGUCCUAUCAUCGUAUGUAUAAGAAAUGUUUGGGACAUCAAAAAACACCAAACAGAUAGGACCCGAACUUCCAUCGGCUUCAUGUGCUACGAUCACAACGUAAGCCUUUUCUAAACUUCUAUAUAUAUAUAUAUAUACAAAUAUUUAUAUAUUUCCCAAUCCACCAUUUUGGAUUUGAACUACUCACUGAUUGCUUAAUUGGGUCGGCCCAACAAAAUAUUUUUCACACCCAGGGACAACUAUUAGAAGGUCGGGUCACCGGAGACAUUCAGCCGAAUGAUUCAAAAAACUUAACCGAAGGAGAUAGUUAUGAAUUCUCGAGAUUUCAUGUCAUACAUAAUUCACGACAACGGAAACUCACCCAACUGCCGUACUAUAUUCAGAUCGGCCAAAGGACAACAGUAUUGAAUGUUACACUUGAUGGUCCGAUAUUCCCAGUUCACAGUUUGUCACCUCAGAAAUACACAAAUCUAUUGCGGUUAGCCAGUACACCCACAUACUUACCAGGUAAGUAUGUCAUUCCAAUAUUAGUUAAAUAAAUAUGUAUAUUCAUUUUAAAACCAAUGUGCAGAUGUCGUGGGACAGAUAGUCAUAAUACAAAAAAUAAAA
Molecule: long non-coding RNA, 5170 nt
Organism: Brassica napus (rape)
Lineage: Eukaryota; Viridiplantae; Streptophyta; Magnoliopsida; Brassicales; Brassicaceae
Exons: 3
Source: RefSeq, a predicted model, not a curated record